CAUGAUACACUCACAUAUUCUUAGGAUGUGUGUGUCAUGGGCAGCCAACAGGCUGCCAGGGGCUGACAGGCCUGAUAGUUCGGCCCAGUUAUCUUUAUAAGUUUAAUUAUCUUUGUAUUUGCAAUUUAUAUUAGUCCUAAAUAGGUUAUUAAGCAAAAGAGAUAAAGUAGAAGGGACAUAAAUAUCUGUAGUCUCUAUUGAUAUAAUCAAGCAAUGAAUUAUGAAGAAACAAUUCUAGUCUCUCUUAAUCUCUCAAGCUCUUGGCAAAGCAUAGCAUAAGGCCUAGUUAUCCCAAAAUACCCCCUCAAUCUCUCAAGCUCUUGGCAAAGCAUAGGCCUAGUUAUCUAUCCAAAAUACCCAUCCCCAUUACAUCUGGUAUCUAAAGUCCAGCGAUCCUCUUCCAUCAGCCGGAUCCUCCAGCACCUCCGAUCCUCCAUUAGCCGGAUCCUCCAUCACCUCGGGUCCUCCAUCAGCCGUUUCAAAAAAAAACAAACAAAUAUUGAUCCAGAUCGUCGCGUCGCCUACCUCAUCCAUCGUGCCGCGCCGCCACAGCAACGCCACC
Molecule: long non-coding RNA, 562 nt
Filed under: Sorghum bicolor (sorghum)
Lineage: Eukaryota; Viridiplantae; Streptophyta; Magnoliopsida; Poales; Poaceae
Description: long non-coding RNA (SBIC_LNC002297)
Source: RNAcentral